UGCGAUAUAGCCAGGUAAGUUCGUAUGAACUAUUAUCAUUUAAUGGUUGAUUAAAUUGAAUGUUUAAUGUAUGUUUCCAUUAAAAAUGAAUCAAUAUAUAUGUUAUUAUGAAAUUUAUCAUGUAAAGAAACGCUGGAAAAUUCAACGAUGUAUGACGACUAUCGUGUCCCAUUUGAACCUUAGGAAUAUAUAGGAUACAAAUGACAUGUCAAUAGGGUUACCAUGUUUUGAAUGUUGGUCCUGAAUGUCCUCCCG
This 255-nucleotide long non-coding RNA is filed under the name Gossypium barbadense (sea-island cotton). RNAcentral's name for it is "long non-coding RNA (GBAR_LNC019113)". Lineage: Eukaryota; Viridiplantae; Streptophyta; Magnoliopsida; Malvales; Malvaceae. The record is from RNAcentral.